GCCUCACUGGCUCAGUUGGUAGAGUAUGUGACCCUUGAUCUCAGGGUUGUAAGUUCAAGCCCCAUGUGGGGUG
Molecule: transfer RNA, 73 nt
Filed under: Ailuropoda melanoleuca (giant panda)
Lineage: Eukaryota; Metazoa; Chordata; Mammalia; Carnivora; Ursidae
Rfam family: tRNA
About the family: Transfer RNA (tRNA) molecules are approximately 80 nucleotides in length. Their secondary structure includes four short double-helical elements and three loops (D, anti-codon, and T loops).
Source: Rfam by way of RNAcentral